Molecule: unclassified non-coding RNA, 211 nt
Filed under: Hevea brasiliensis (rubber tree)
Lineage: Eukaryota; Viridiplantae; Streptophyta; Magnoliopsida; Malpighiales; Euphorbiaceae
Source: RNAcentral
GGGAGCUUCCCCUGACGGGCUUAUCGAUUCCGGGAUUCUGGAGGUUAAGUGUCCAUACAACAAGGGGAAGCCGGAGCUCGGGCUACCAUGGAAUAUAAUGCCAUACUACUACAUGCCCCAGGUACAGGGCCAGAUGGAGAUCAUGGACCGUGACUGGGUCGAUUUGUAUUGCUGGACGCCAAAUGGGAGCAGCAUUUUUCGAGUGAAUCGC